UUAAAAAAAAAAAAUUUAGAGCAUGUCGGCAAGAGGGGGAAAACCCACCCACUUGCCCACUUGCUUCCUCCAUUAAUGGUGAAGGGUGAAAUAGUGUCAAGAAUGCUUUAUAAAUAGCCAUACACAUAUGACUACUUCACUCCAUCUUCUUCUCUAAAAUCCUCUUCAUACUUCUUCCUCCAACUAGCUUCUCCCCUCUACACCACCCUCCCAUAGCCGAGCACCACCAGUCGACAACCCACCGACCACCACAAGAGCAGCCCCCUCCUUCCUUGUAUUGCACCGAGGAAUUUCGGGUUUGAAAUUAGGAGCUCCAUAAUUGCAUGUGUGCAAAGAUCGAGAUAGGUGAUGGCGAUCGGACAACGUGAACUAUAUGAUGCAUUGGGAAUGAUAGGCGGUGAUCACCUAGUUUAAUUUAGUAAACAUAGUAUUAGUGGUGUAGUUACUUUGAAAAUGUAUCAAACUAUUAUUACUACUAUUAUUAUCAUUAAUGAAAGUUAAGUACUAUUUUCCGCUGCAAAACUCUGUUAAGCCUUACGUAAUCACGUGGCGGUAAUACUCCCAUGUUACUCCCUAAAGUUGGAUACUAUUGUUAAUAUUAGAGAGUAAUUUGGGGGUGUUACACAAACUCCCAAUCUCAAUCAAACUACUCUAUCCCAACACUCUUUAUGGUUUGUUAUAAUCUCAUGAGGCCCAUUAAUGAACCUCUAACUUGUUUAACCCAAUA
Long non-coding RNA from Chenopodium quinoa (quinoa), 727 nucleotides. RefSeq lists it as uncharacterized. The transcript has 3 exons. Lineage: Eukaryota; Viridiplantae; Streptophyta; Magnoliopsida; Caryophyllales; Amaranthaceae. The record is from RefSeq and is a predicted model, not a curated record.